RNAcentral lists this ribosomal RNA (246 nucleotides) under uncultured bacterium. RNAcentral's name for it is "partial 16S ribosomal RNA". It matches the Rfam family "Bacterial small subunit ribosomal RNA", at positions 15 to 250 of the family's 1533-position model. The record is from RNAcentral.
GAUCAUGGCUCAGGAUGAACGCUAGCUACAGGCUUAACACAUGCAAGUCGGAGGGGCAUCAGUUUGGUUUGCUUGCAAACCAAAGCUGGCGACCGGCGCACGGGUGAGUAACACGUAUCCAACCUACCUCAUACUCGGGGAUAGCCUUUCGAAAGAAAGAUUAAUAUCCGAUAGCAUAUAUUUCCCGCAUGGGUUUUAUAUUAAAGAAAUUCGGUAUGAGAUGGGGAUGCGUUCCAUUAGUUUGGG